This 442-nucleotide ribosomal RNA is filed under the name uncultured bacterium. RNAcentral's name for it is "bacterial SSU rRNA". It matches the Rfam family "Bacterial small subunit ribosomal RNA", at positions 958 to 1398 of the family's 1533-position model. The record is from RNAcentral.
AACGCGAAGAACCUUACCUACUCUUGACAUCCUAGGAAUCUGGCAGAGACGCUGGAGUGCCGCAAGGAACCUAGAGACAGGUGCUGCAUGGCUGUCGUCAGCUCGUGUCGUGAGAUGUUGGGUUGAGUCCCGUAACGAGCGCAACCCUUAUCCUUAGUUGCCAUCAGGUAAAGCUGGGAACUCUAAGGAGACUGCCGGUGAUAAGCCGGAGGAAGGUGGGGACGAGGUCAAGUCAUCAUGGCCCUUACGAGUAGGGCUACACACGUGUUACAAUGGACGGUACAGAGGGAAGCGAAGCCGCGAGGUGAAGCGAAUCUCAUUAAAGCCGUUCGUAGUCCGGAUUGGAGUCUGCAACUCGACUCCAUGAAGUUGGAAUCGCUAGUAAUCGCGGAUCAGAACGCCGCGGUGAAUACGUUCCCGGGCCUUGUACACACCGAGUAUA